Molecule: ribosomal RNA, 471 nt
Filed under: uncultured bacterium
Lineage: Bacteria
Description: bacterial SSU rRNA
Rfam family: Bacterial small subunit ribosomal RNA
Source: RNAcentral
CGCUGGCGGCGUGCCUAACACAUGCAAGUCGAACGGAGUCAAGAAGCUUGCUUUUGACUUAGUGGCGGACGGGUGAGUAACGCGUGAGUAACCUGCCUCUGAGAGGGGAAUAACGUUCUGAAAAGAACGCUAAUACCGCAUAAUGUAUCGAAGCCGCAUGACUUUGAUACCAAAGAUUUUUAUCGCUCGGAGAUGGACUCGCGUCCGAUUAGUUAGUUGGUGAGGUAACGGCUCACCAAGACCGCGAUCGGUAGCCGGACUGAGAGGUUGAUCGGCCACAUUGGGACUGAGACACGGCCCAGACUCCUACGGGAGGCAGCAGUGGGGGAUAUUGCGCAAUGGGGGCAACCCUGAACCGCAGCAACGCCGCGUGAAGGAUGAAGGUUUUCGGAUUGUAAACUUCUUUUAUCAGGGACGAAGCUUGACGGUACCUGAUGAAUAAGCUCCGGCUAACUACGUGCCAGCCGCCGC